RNAcentral lists this ribosomal RNA (492 nucleotides) under uncultured bacterium. Its description in RNAcentral is "partial 16S ribosomal RNA". It matches the Rfam family "Bacterial small subunit ribosomal RNA", at positions 29 to 507 of the family's 1533-position model. The record is from RNAcentral.
AGUGAACGCUGGCGGUAGGCCUAACACAUGCAAGUCGAACGGCAGCACAGUAAGAGCUUGCUCUUACGGGUGGCGAGUGGCGGACGGGUGAGGAAUACAUCGGAAUCUACUUUUUCGUGGGGGAUAACGUAGGGAAACUUACGCUAAUACCGCAUACGACCUACGGGUGAAAGCAGGGGAUCUUCGGACCUUGCGCGACUGAAUGAGUCGAUGUCGGAUUAGCUAGUUGGCGGGGUAAAGGCCCACCAAGGCGACGAUCCGUAGCUGGUCUGAGAGGAUGAUCAGCCACACUGGAACUGAGACACGGUCCAGACUCCUACGGGAGGCAGCAGUGGGGAAUAUUGGACAAUGGGCGCAAGCCUGAUCCAGCCAUACCGCGUGGGUGAAGAAGGCCUUCGGGUUGUAAAGCCCUUUUGUUGGGAAAGAAAAGCAGCAGGUUAAUACCCCGCUGUUCUGACGGUACCCAAAGAAUAAGCACCGGCUAACUUCGUG